UUCUUUGCGGAUCGUUGAGCUUCUUGUUCUUCUUCUUCAGAUUAAGGAUGAAGCUCGGUUCGUUCUUCCUCCUCAUAUCCUCUGCGUU
Molecule: long non-coding RNA, 88 nt
Organism: Cucurbita maxima (winter squash)
Lineage: Eukaryota; Viridiplantae; Streptophyta; Magnoliopsida; Cucurbitales; Cucurbitaceae
Exons: 3
Source: RefSeq, a predicted model, not a curated record